RNAcentral lists this ribosomal RNA (253 nucleotides) under uncultured bacterium. RNAcentral describes it as "partial 16S ribosomal RNA". It matches the Rfam family "Bacterial small subunit ribosomal RNA", at positions 524 to 776 of the family's 1533-position model. The record is from RNAcentral.
UACAGCGGUCCCAAGCGUUGUUCGGAUUCACUGGGCGUAAAGGGUGCGUAGGUGGCAGGGUAAGUUUGAUGUGAAAUCUCCGAGCUUAACUCGGAAACUGCAUUGAAUACUAUCCUGCUCGAGGGUUGGAAGGGGGACUGGAAUUCCUAGUGUAGCGGUGAAAUGCGUAGAGAUUAGGAAGAACACCAGUGGCGAAGGCGACUUACUGGACUGUAACUGACACUGAGGCAUGAAAGCGUGGGGAGCAAACAGG